This 164-nucleotide ribosomal RNA is filed under the name uncultured bacterium. Its description in RNAcentral is "partial 16S rRNA". It matches the Rfam family "Bacterial small subunit ribosomal RNA", at positions 355 to 511 of the family's 1533-position model. The record is from RNAcentral.
UAGGGAAUCUUCCACAAUGGGCGCAAGCCUGAUGGAGCAACACCGCGUGAGUGAAGAAGGGUUUCGGCUCGUAAAGCUCUGUUGUUAAAGAAGAACACGUAUGAGAGUAACUGUUCAUACGUUGACGGUAUUUAACCAGAAAGUCACGGCUAAAUACGUGCUAG